UACGUAGGUGGCAAGCGUUGUCCGGAAUUAUUGGGCGUAAAGCGCGCGCAGGCGGCCUCUUAAGUCUGAUGUGAAAGCCCCCGGCUCAACCGGGGAGGGCCAUUGGAAACUGGGAGGCUUGAGUAUAGGAGAGAAGAGUGGAAUUCCACGUGUAGCGGUGAAAUGCGUAGAGAUCCGGAGGAACACCAAAGGCGAAGGCAGUGUCCUGGGGAGUACCUGACGCUCAGGUGCGAAAGCCAGGGGAGCGAACGGG
Molecule: ribosomal RNA, 253 nt
Filed under: uncultured bacterium
Lineage: Bacteria
Description: partial 16S ribosomal RNA
Rfam family: Bacterial small subunit ribosomal RNA
Source: RNAcentral